RNAcentral lists this ribosomal RNA (319 nucleotides) under uncultured Chaetoceros. RNAcentral's name for it is "partial Bacterial large subunit ribosomal RNA". It matches the Rfam family "Bacterial large subunit ribosomal RNA", at positions 1965 to 2283 of the family's 2925-position model. The record is from RNAcentral. Lineage: Eukaryota; Bacillariophyta; Thalassiosirophyceae; Chaetocerotales; Chaetocerotaceae.
UUCCUUGUCGGGUAAGUUCCGACCCGCACGAAAGGCGUAAUGAUUUGGAUACUGUCUCGGAGAGGGGCUCGGUGAAAUAGACUUGUCUGUGAAGAUGCGGACUACCUGCACCAGGACAGAAAGACCCUAUGAAGCUUUACUGUAACUUGAAAUUGAAAUUGGACUUUAGUCGCGCAGCAUAGGUGGGAGGCUUUGAAGAUAUUCUUGCGGGAAUAUCGGAGCUAUCAGUGAGAUACCACUCUUCUAAUGUUAGAUUUCUAACUUUGAACCAUUAUCUGGUCAAAGAACAGUUUCAGGCGGGCAGUUUGACUGGGGCGGU